UUAAACGAAUCGAGUUAUUCGAGUUAAUCGAGUUAUUCGAAUCAACUUAAAUUUUUUUUCGAAUUUCGAGUUCGAAUCGAGUUUAGUUUUCGAAUUCGAAUAACUCGAAUAAUUCGAAUAUCAAACUAUAAUAUUUUACAUUUUUACUCCAAACUCCCAAACCUUUUUACUUUUCCCUUAAAACUUUUACUCAUUCCCACUUUCCCCCCAAAACUUUUACUCCCCUCCCCUCCCAACCCCCCAAUCUACCCAAAAUCCAUUUCCCACCAAAAUUUUACUCUCCCAUUUAUUUUUUCUCAAAAUUUUACUCCCAAAAACCCUCAAAACCUUUUAUUUUCCCCCAAAAUUUUUACUCCCUCCCACUUUUCCCCUAAAACUUUUAUUCCCUUCCCAUCUCACCUCUCAUCUAUCCCAAACCCUCCCCCCUCCAAUUUUUUUUAAAUAUUUUCCCUCCAAAAUUUUACUCCCCCUAUUUACUUUCCCUCAAACUUUUAUUCCUAAAACUUUUUUAUUUUUCCCCUAAACUUUUACUUCUCACCCU
This 541-nucleotide long non-coding RNA is filed under the name Gossypium raimondii (Peruvian cotton). Its description in RNAcentral is "long non-coding RNA (GRAI_LNC010074)". The record is from RNAcentral. Lineage: Eukaryota; Viridiplantae; Streptophyta; Magnoliopsida; Malvales; Malvaceae.